This is a long non-coding RNA of Solea senegalensis (Senegalese sole), 619 nucleotides long. RefSeq lists it as uncharacterized. The transcript is spliced from 3 exons. The record is from RefSeq and is a predicted model, not a curated record. NCBI's taxonomy places the organism in Eukaryota, Metazoa, Chordata, Actinopteri, Pleuronectiformes, Soleidae.
AUGAAAUGAUGCAGUUUUCUGCAGAUAAGGUUCUGACGAUCUUCUCAUCCCAAUUGGAUCCAGCUCUCCUCUCUCUAACUGCACGAGACCUGAAUCAGGUUUAAAGUUGCUGAUGGGACGGCCUCAGGGUUUGAUAAGGUGUGAAACAAUGGUGUGGGCGUUGGAAAAGGCUCAUAAGUUGAAGGACAGUCGGCUCAUUGGUUCUCUGACGGCUGGCACCGUCUCACAGCUCUGAGAUGACACUGUCAUAUUUUGAAACAUCUCUGUCUGUCUGUCUGCCUGUCGCUUGGCGCUGCUGCGCUUCCCUCUGUCUCUGUGUUGCUCUUUUGUUUAGGACCACACAGAGGGAUGACAUGUUGGAGGCACAUCCAGGCUGGGUGGCCCGGCUGCAGGAAAGAUGUGGGUGACAGGAUCAGCCUUCAACAGACUAUGGGAGUAAUGCGUGUAGACAGUGUAUAACCAGUCUUUUGGGGACCUGUAGAAAAAGCAACGCUGGCAAUUCUGAAUAAAUGCACUUUAGAAAAAAAGAGAAGCAACAGAAAGAAAGUUCUUUGGGAGCCUUGUUUUAGCUGCAGCCUCAUGCAUCACACUCUCAUGCACUACUAAUGUCUUUAAGAAA